Molecule: small nucleolar RNA, 123 nt
Organism: Oryctolagus cuniculus (rabbit)
Lineage: Eukaryota; Metazoa; Chordata; Mammalia; Lagomorpha; Leporidae
Source: Ensembl
GUGCCACAUAUAAGAAACUCACUUCAUUUCUGCAGAAAUUUAGAAAAAGCUGGCAAUAGUAAUGCCGUGUUAUGAAUCUUAAGGACAUUGAAGUCACUGAGGUACCUGAAAAUGGCAACAACA